RNAcentral lists this unclassified non-coding RNA (33 nucleotides) under Sorangium cellulosum So ce56. RNAcentral's name for it is "sce_Cardiovirus_CRE_34". Lineage: Bacteria; Pseudomonadati; Myxococcota; Polyangiales; Polyangiaceae. The record is from RNAcentral.
GGUUGAGGUUGCCGGCGCCGACCCAGGUUGAGG